Long non-coding RNA from Apis dorsata (giant honeybee), 131 nucleotides. RefSeq lists it as uncharacterized. The record is from RefSeq and is a predicted model, not a curated record. The transcript is spliced from 3 exons. NCBI's taxonomy places the organism in Eukaryota, Metazoa, Arthropoda, Insecta, Hymenoptera, Apidae.
GCACACCCUCUUUAUUCAGACACACAUUUGCUCGUUUACUCAUUCACUCACUUUAGGCGUCUAGGUAAAAAAAUGGGGGUGGGAGAAGAGGGUAAACGACGUUUCGUUUAUAGAAUUAAUCGCUAGAAAAA